CUACAUUGGAUAUUGGCAAGUUCUUUUAAAUAACAUUAAGCCGAAUGACUUGUUGUUUUCAUUUUAAUUAAUCCGUCCUAUUGAUUACAAGAUCGUUACAUCCAAAAUCAAUAGAUUGUUGCUAACACUUUGUGUUGCACUUUCGACUGUUGAACUGAUUUUCGAGGACGUUAUGACAACGAUACUAUUAUACGGGCUCCUUGUUCACCAGCUUAUACUGACGACAGUUUUUGUGGUACGAAGUUACCACAACUAAUAUUAAGGGUGUCGUAAAGGCGAAUCUUCACGGGACGAUUUUUACGUCAAUCGUUAUCAAUACUCGAAUUUGAUUGGUCGCGAUUUUCGUCAUGAGGAAAAGUUGAAUUGGUUUCUACUUUUCGUCACAGAAAUGGUUGCAAAUAUCGUCCAGUCUAGAUUCGGGUUAAAACAGAAGAUUUCGAAAAAGAAUCGUUGAAAAACCACAGCAUCACACCACUUAAACCACGUGAUCAAGCUUAUCUUCGAGGCGAGGUGUAUAGUUUGAAGUCAGUCGCUUUAGUUAGAUGUAGCCACAGAAAAUGGUAUCAGAUAUGAAGACUUCUGAUCAAUGAA
Long non-coding RNA from Hydractinia symbiolongicarpus, 591 nucleotides. RefSeq lists it as uncharacterized. NCBI's taxonomy places the organism in Eukaryota, Metazoa, Cnidaria, Hydrozoa, Anthoathecata, Hydractiniidae. The record is from RefSeq and is a predicted model, not a curated record. The transcript is spliced from 2 exons.